This 372-nucleotide ribosomal RNA is filed under the name Anaplasma platys. RNAcentral's name for it is "bacterial SSU rRNA". It matches the Rfam family "Bacterial small subunit ribosomal RNA", at positions 96 to 507 of the family's 1533-position model. The record is from RNAcentral. Lineage: Bacteria; Pseudomonadati; Pseudomonadota; Alphaproteobacteria; Rickettsiales; Anaplasmataceae.
UGUCGACGGUGAGUAUGCAUAGGAAUCUACCUAGUAGUAUGGGAUAGCCACUAAAAUGGUGGGUAAUACUGUAUAAUCCCUGCGGGGGAAAGAUUUAUCGCUAUUAGAUGAGCCUAUGUUAAAUUAGCUAGUUGGUAGGGUAAAGGCCUACCAAGGCAGUGAUCUAUAGCUGGUCUGAGAGGAUGAUCAGCCACACUGGAACUGAAAUACGGUCCAAACUCCUACGGGAGGCAGCAGUGGGGAAUAUUGGACAAUGGGCGCAAGCCUGAUCCAGCUAUGCCGCGUGAGUGAAGAAGGCCUUAGGGUUGUAAAACUCUUUCAGUGGGGAAGAUAAUGACGGUACCCACAGAAAAAUUCCGGGCCAAACUCAAA